GCUGUGACAAAGGGAGCCCCGGCUGAGACCCUGCUCAGACACAUUGGAACCGGGAAAGACUGGGUGAUUAUUACCUAACACGUGUGCUACAGAUACGUCCUGUAUCUUCAUUUCUCUGGGAUUCCUUUCGGCAAAUUCUGCGUGAUUUUACCUGCCCGGAAAGGUAGUCUGGGGAUGAAGCGACGCCCCCGUAAGGCGGGAUUUUGAAUACCUGGGAUGUGAGCAGCACGGUACCAAUUCACCUGUUCUGAGACCCGGCCUCUCAGUGUUGGACACAGACAGUGAAACCUCGGGCACGUGACGCGCAGUAACGCGUCCAGGGCCACAGGCAGCACGUGACGGAGCCCAGACUCCUAGGAGCUCGGCAGUGUCCAGAGUUCGCGGCCGUCCCGGACUCCCUGCACAGGCGGCGUGGGAAAUGUUCUCGUGGUCCUGAGUCAGCGGCCUCGCCUUCCCUCCAGAGGAAAGCAACACCUUCCGGCCUGUGGUUGGAGGUCUGCCUGCGAGCAGUGAGAUGUUGCCCCAGGAUCCUUGAGCCUGCAGUUCACCAACAAGCCCUUCCUUUUGGGAAUAAUCGGGGGUAUGUCUGCAGGUGUAGAAAGAAGAAAAGCCCAGUGUACCACUUUAAAGAUGUGCCAGGGAUGGCCACAUAGGCCUCUCUGCAGAGAACUGUAUGCGUCCAGGGACACCUGUGGUCUUUGACGGAUCCAUGCUCCAGACGCAAAGGGAUGCUGGAUAAUUCUGCAAUGCUAUAGGUGUACUUAAAAAGCAUGAAAAAUGUCUGUUUCCAGGUGGCCGAGAAGAAAGGGAAGCUAGAGCAUAAAUAGAGGUUGAAACCAAGCAGCUGUGAAGUUAUCGAGACCAGAAAGACAUCUUUAGGGCCGGGAAACUGACCGCUGCCUGAGGAUGCCUGGGGAGCUUGUGGAUGCUGUGUGCCAUGAGGAUCAGGGGAGCAGCUUUACAAACCCAGGAACAGGGAGGGAGCUACCAUGUCUGUGUAGAGACUUGCCUUGCUUGGCCCUCCAGGAACACAGAGCAAUAACUGAUGCCGGCUCUGGACCCCAGGUGUACCUCUUGUGUGAAGCCUCAGUUCACACCGUCUGCACUCUGGAAAUUUUGAGCAGGAAUUGAAUAUAAAGGUUGAUCUAUAUCCAACUGCAACCCCCAAGACCCCAGCCCAGGGCAGGUGCCUGCACAACUCAGGGUGUUUCUGGGACAGAGAAGGAUAAUCCCCAAGUUCUCACCUGUGAGAACUUGCCACCUUGAGGCUGAACAGACUCGAUAAAAGAAGAAUUCACAUCUGAGGACCUACAGAUGAAGGAAACAUCAAAAUGCACCUUUGAUCAUGAAGACACAAUAUAAAGGGGAAAACAAAGGCACAUAGGCCACAUUACAACUACAGGGCUUAAAAAAAAGUCGUGGAAGGAAAAAUAGAGUCACUGAAAGAAAAUGAGUGGGUUGGACAGAAUGUCUCCUGGUCUCUGUUGUGUUUGUCCUGCCACAGUAAUGUCCCAGGAGUGGGGACAGGUCGCGGUGGAACUUGAACCUUAACCACUUCACACAGCGCCCGGGACUGGGCACCUGCUGAGUGGAUGGGUGUCCAUGUGAGUGUCCGCUGUGAUCUGCUACUUCCAGACUCUUUGGAUGUGGACAGUGGUCCCUGCCAGGCCGUUUCCUUCCCAGCCAGGCAUCAAAGGCCUCAGCUUCAGGUGUGAGGGGACCAUGUGCGGAGCUGGAGGAGGGGGCGGGACAGCAGGCCUCAAGGGGGACAGUGACCGGCCUCUCCGGUGUUCCCUCCAAAGGGAAGGGCGCAGCCCCGCACAUGGAUUUCUUGACUGUGCUGGGGGAAACAACAGAGGGCUCCCCCCCGGCCUGGGGCCCAUGUGCCAGCCCCCCUCUCCUCCGGGUCCUGCACGCCAUUCAUCGUGUUCCCUCAUCUGCGCUAACGAGGACCUCUGAAAAAUGGCUGCUAUGGUCAUGAUCUAUGGAACUUGCUGUAGAGAGCAAUUAAAUACGGUUAACGGCCGGCUUCCACGAACACAUUAAAAGGCCUACAGGCUGCGAUUUAUGAAGGCAGUUGUGCUGCCUCAUUUGUAUCCAGUGCAUGUCUGGUUUCUGCUCAGGAGGUCCGGCCCAGGAGGGACCACCCUCCAGGCUUCCUCCAGCAUCACUCCCGUCACCAGUCCUCCCGAAACCGUGUUAGCAGGGCUUGGUCGUCCUCACUGCCUCCCUGAACGUCCACGGGAGGCCUGCUGGCUGCUAUCAUCGUGGAAAGGCACGUGCUACCCCCAGAGGAACUUAGAUGUCAUACUGGGGCUGGUUCUCACACGUGGUGUAAAGUGACUUGAUGACAAGCUCAAGGUGAAGUGCUGUGGGCUCACUGUCCUCCACUCUGCUGAUGUCUCUGUGUAAUCAGCACACGACCCCAGCUCAAGGAUGGGGAGGGGUCUCUAUCCCCAGUGGCCAGCAAGCUGGGCAGAGUCAUGCCCCAUUCAUCCAGCAACCUUCCCCACUGUGAGACAGGAGGAAGAUCAAGCCCCUGAGAAGCCCAAACAAGAACUAAGAGCAUGCAACCUACUCAGGAGUGAGCAACUAGACAGGAGAUGGCCAGUCUGUCCCAGCGCCCCCCCCCCCCCCCCCCCCCCCCCCGCCCGCCACUGGCCGACUCCACCUACUGACGUCACGCUGGCCCAGGGGCAUGCUUCCAUCAGCAGUGGGGACUGCAGACAAUAGGUGUGUCUGCUGGUCUGGUCCUUGACCUUCACCUGGAACCUUGGGGCUAAACAUAGAAAAAGGGCUAGGGAGGUAGCUUUGCAGGACAAGUUCCAGGGGUGUCCUUGGUAGUAUUUUCCCCUUUUGUGGACACUUUUCCUUCCUGAGAAAAUAGCCAAGACCAGGUGUUCUUUUGCCCCUGGAACUGCCAAUGGUUUCGUGCCAUGAGGCCAAAGCACAAGAGUCCAGGCAGCUAGACUGUGAUACCAGCCCUUGCUUUUGAACGCCCAGGCUUACUCAGUGGAAAUGCUGGGUGGGCUGGUGGGGGAAGCCACAGAGAUGUGGGUUUUUCCGUGAUGAGAGGUGAGAGUUGCCAGAGUAGGUAAUGGCAGGGGUUGUCUUGGGGCAAAGGAUGGGAUAUCUUCCUGUUGUUGACAUCAUUGUACUGCUUCCCAGUGAGGCCCUGGGACCCACUCACAUCAGAGAUGCCAUAAUGUGAGGAAAUGGAAGCCAGAGUAAUGGCCUUGGGGAAAGUGACAAAGUACCCCUGUGUCCAAACUCAGCUCAGCUACAACCCCCUCAAAGGGAGCAGGAGGGUGAAUAGAGAGUUUAUUUCCCGGACACUUGGGGCUGAAGGGCAGAGAACACUUCCUUGAAUGCUUAGAGUAUAUAGAACCUUCUGGACGUGUGUUCAAGUCCACGAGGAAUGGCUGAAAAUAUGAUUCAUUUGCAGGUAGCAGGUUGAAGAGAAGUUUGGAUCAGCUUUUAUUUAAUUUGGAGAAAUAAUAGCAUACGAUAGUUCUGCUGGCGUCCAACGUCCUUUAGAGUCUGCAGUGAAAUGAAUUUCCCCAAAGAGGGAGGACCUUGGAAAGUGAUGACAGGUCCCGUCUCCAAGUAUUAAUUUCUAGGGAAGCGGAGGCCGUCUUCUGGCGUGGGGACACCAUAGGGUCUGCAUCACCACAGUGCUGAGGGCAAGGACAAGGGACAGAUGCCAGCUGGGUCCAGGUUGUGAUCCCAAAGACAGCGUGGCAAUGAUGGCUUCUGUUUUGGGUGUUUUUUUUUUUUUUUUGCAGCUUUAUGGAGAUAUAAACGAUAAGUAAAAUGGCGUGUAUUUAAGGUGUACAACUUGACACCUACCUGUGAAAGCAUCACCAUGAUCAAGUCCAUUAAUGUCCCUGUCACCUCACUGUGGGAGUGUGUGUGUGUGGGGGGGGUAAGAACAUUUCAUACUGAUCUUCUUUGCAAAUGUCAAGUACACAGUAUUACUAACUGUAGUCGCUGGGCUUUACCUUAGAACCCCAACCUGUUCAUCUCGUAACUGGAAGUUUGCACCCUUUGGCUAACGUCUCCCUAUUCCCACCCCCCACCACCCCCCACCCCGGCUGUUGGCAACUACAGUUCUACACUCUGCUUCUAUGAGUUUGAUUAUUUUAUUUAUUUAUUUACUGUAAGUUUAAUUUUAUUGCAGCCUUGUUGACUUACAACGCUGUGUUCGUUUCAAGUGUACAGCAAAGUGGAUCAGUCAUCCCAAUGCAUGUAUCCCUCCCUUUUCCCACAUGGGUUGUUACAAACUACAGAGUACACUUUCCUGUGCUCUGCAGUCGGUUCCUCAUCUCCAGUAAGUUACUCAUCUCGUUUAUAACAUACACACACUACUGAGUUUGACUAUUUUAGAUGCUCCCUGUAAGUGAGAUCAUGCGUUGUUUGUCUUUCUAUAUCUAAUUUAUUUUGCUUAGCACCACAUUCUCCAGGUUCAUCCAGAGAGAAAAUUACAGAAUUUCCUUCUUUUUAAACUCUCAGUAUUUAGUCAUUCAUUCCUUGGUGGAACUUAGGUUGUUUCCAUGUCUUGGCUAUUGUGAAUAAUUCUGCACUGGACCUGAGAGUGCAGGGAUUGCUUUGGAGUCCAGACUUUAUUUUCUUUGGGUUUAUAUCCAAAAGAGACAUUGCUGAGUGGUAUGGUGGUUCUAUUGUCAAUUUUUUGAGGAACCCGCAUACUGUUUUCCAUAGCGGCUGCACCAAUUUGCAUUUCCACCCACGGGGAACCAGGGUUCCUUUUCCUCCACACCGUCGCCAACGUUUAUCUUUCGUCUUUUUGAUAGUCACUAUCCUAGCAGGAGUGACGUGAUCUCUCAAUGUGGUUUUGAUCUGAAUUUCUCUGACGAUUAGUGAUGUUGAGCAUCUUUUCAUAUAUCUGGUGGCUAGUUAUAUAUCUUCUUUUGAGAAAUGUCUGCUUGUGUCCUUUGCCCAAUCUUUAACUGUGUUAUUUGUGUGAAUUGUCUUUUGCUAUUGAUUUGUAACACUUACUUAUAUAUUUUGGAUCAGAGCUCAAUAGCAGAUGGUUUGCAAGCAUUUUUUCCCGUUCCGUAGAUUGCCUUUUCACUUCAUUGAGUGUUUCCUUUGCCGAACAGAAGCCCUGUGAUGUUUCCUAAGGCCGAGACUCCUGGGCUAAAAAUAGAGCUAUUUGAGCUGUAAUUGGAAUCCCACUGAGAAGUUGAGUCAAUGGUCAGUCUCUGAGGCCAAGAGAGGUGUCAGCUGAUGGAGCAUCAUAAGGAUCUGGUGUUUGAGUGCCAGUAUUCGUGGACCCAAGGAGACCUCAUCUUCAAUGACCAUGAGGCAAAGAACGCUUGAGUCAUUUAAAACAGGCUUUGGGCAUGCUGAUAAUCAGAGAAGGAUGGGGUGCUGCUUCCGUGUGGUUCUGAGAGCAGAAACAUGACAUCAAGGCUCUGGGUGGGAAGAUGUGACAUCAGGAGGGACGGCUUAGGCCUCAAUAGAUUGGGUGUGGUCAGAGCGAAACUGAGGGUGCCCCCACCUGACACCCAGCACAACUAGGUUCAAACUCUAUAAAUAUUCUCAACCAGGGUCGAUAUCAAAGGGGGGCAGAGGAGAACAUGAAGCAAGACAGGAAGUCUUGUCUCAGUUUAUUAGCUGUGGCAGGUGGGACCCAUCAUGGGAGUGGUGAGGUCCCAAAGAAGUAAUGUGGACCUCCUCAGCGGUCUCUGAGCCCGGCCGCAGCAGAGACUGCCCCCUGCUCUAGGUGGCUUUGCAAUUCUGUGCUCUGCACCUGUGAUGAUGGCCCAGGCAUACCCCAGAGAGGGGUGUCUGGGGAGUGGAAGCUUGAGGUGAAAGCAAAGACAGAAGUAAGGUUACUUGCGUGGUAUCGAGUGGGGAAAGCAAAACUUGGGGAAGUGUACCCUUAAGCCCCAAGCGGUUUAUGGGGUUUGGCACCAGGUUCUUUGGAGGGAUGGUACCAGAAAGCAGAGGCGGGGAUUUUAUGGCCCACUGACCUAACAAAGAGGAUCCGUAAGUAGGAAUCUGAAAGCUAAGGGGAGUCUAGGAUGAUGGCAGGAAACUAGUGGGGUAUUAGAGAGUGGAGACCCCUGGGAUUUUUAGGAGAUUAGGUUUGCCCAUCUGGCCCCUGUGGUCCAAAAGGUGAUUGACCAUGAGGCCCCAGUGCCAACGCCUCACCCCUGGGGGCCAGAUCUGAUGCUGGCAUGUGAGUUAGGGCUGGUAUAUUCCAGCCCGGGAACCUACGAUGCUGCAGUGUAGACGUGUUUUCAGUGGCACAGCACUACCCUGUAAUUUCAGAGAAAAGGGGAAGGUCUUACUGACGUGCCUCUUCUGACCAAAGUUGCAAACAUCACCUCUGCUCACGUUCUGUUUCCAGAACUUUGUCAAGUGGCCAUGCUUAGCCUCCAGGGGAGCCUGGGAGAUGCAGUAUUAUUCUGUGUAGCCAGAUGUCCAGCUAGAUAUCAGGGGUUCUUCUAUUAAAAGAAAACCAGCGAGUAGGAAUACGGGGAACCAAGAGCAGUCAAUGCCUUGGGUAGGUGCACAGUCCCGAAGAGGGAUCAAGCCGAAAAUUAGAAUAAAUAAAAUAUGAAGGCAGGAAACCCACCAAGACGAGUGUCGCUUGAGUGGACCUCUAGUGAUGCUUCAGCUCUUUGUUACUGUAGCGGCCAAAUAAGAGUUUUCAGAUUGUCUGCUUUCUUUAAGUGAAUGCCUUUCUGAUUGUAGUAACACUUCCUUGUCUUUGUUUAGGAGAAAAAAUUGAAAAGUGUGGAAAAUCAAAUAGAAUCAGUUAAUGACACACCAUCCAGGGGAAAUUCUCUCUUUUAUGCUGGUAUCUCUUCUUCCUACGUUCUCCGUAGCUGUCUAGCUCGCAGGUGUGUGUUUAUAAGGAAACCACCUUCUAUACUUUAUCCUUUGACAGGGUUUUUUUUUUAAUUUUAGUGAUUUCUUUAAUAAUCUUUAUUGUUGGCCGUCUAUGUCCUAAGAAUUCCUUCUUUCUCUGUAGAUCCGAGUCAAGGAAAGGGGGACACAGGCAGUGUCCUGGGGAGGCUCCCCUUGCCCGCACUUGGGAGGCAGGAUGCUCCAGAGGAGGAAGGUGUCACCGCCUCCUUCAGGGGUGACCUUCCCAGCAGGCCCGCUGCCCACGCGCCCCCCUCACCCAGCCCAGCCGGCUCUGCCACCUCUCCCUGCCCCUCCCCUUCCCUGUGUGGCCCCCUCACCCACAGGCCUGCCCUCUGGGCCCUUAACAGAGAAGACAGCACAUCUCACCUCGCUGGUGGUCUGCAUUUCGGGAUUCAGGUGUGAGUGAGAAGAAAACCACUUGUCAUGACCCCCCAGGUGGCCUGCAGUGCAUACCCCAGGCCCCUGAUCCAGCUCCAUCCAACGCCCCCCUUCUCUCCUAAGCCAUUGCUCUAAGGGCAUGCGUUCAAGUCCAAGGGCAGUGAGGUGAGUGUGGCCAACUAAAGCCUGAAGGACAUUCGGCAGGGAAGGGACACGGCAGAGCCUCCUUGCUUAAACUUUAAUUUGAAUUGGAAAUUACCCUGUCUCAAGGUCUGCUUUUCUUUCGGUUAGAGGUUAGUUUUAUUUUUAAUUAAUUUAUUUAUUUAUUUUGCUUUUUAGGGGCACACCCAUGGCAUAAGGGGGUUCCCAGGCUAGGGGUCCAAUUGGAGCUACAGCUGCCGGCCUACAACACAGCCACAGCAAUGCUGCAUCCGAGCUGUGUCUGCGACCUACACUGCAGCUCACGGCAACUCUGGAUCCCUGACCCAGUGAGCGAGGUCAGGGAUUGAACCCACAUCCUCAUGGAUACUAGUUGGAUUAGUUCCUCGGCACCACAACAGGAACUCUCUAUGUUAGUUUUAGUACCUAGGUGUGGGCCUGUGUACACAUGCCUCUGUGUGUGUGUGUGUGUGUGUGUGUGUGUGUGUGUGUGUGUGUGUGUGUCGGGGAGUGAGGGAAGGAUGGGGGAGGGGAGGGAAGAUCCAGCCAUGCAAACACUUUACUGAAUCCCAAGCCAGUCCUGGUUAGGAAUGAACACAUCGUGGCUGAAAAUUCCCUAGGAUUUCAUAUGCCAAGUAUGUGAAUUCAUAUUCUUUAAACACACAUACGCGUGCACACAGGCAGCAAGUCCUGUGGCCACCCCCCUCCCUGACAGGACAGAUAGCAGGCUCAACCAAUGCCGAGGUCAGAGCAUGUGGAGGGAUGAUCUCAGGCUGUCCUCCUGCCCAGCUCCCAGGAGGGCAGAGCGGCCUGCAUCCUCACCCAGCCUGGACUGAGUUUUCCCAACCCCAGACUCCCGGUCCAGCCAGAAGGCAUGCCUCUUUGUUAAGGAUGCAGGGGGCAGAUGGGCUGGAAAAGGGGACUGCAGAGGUGAGUGGAGGGAGCUGCCCCCAGGCUGUCCCCUCACAGAGCCCCAGCCUCCACCUCCCAGCCCUCUGCUCCCAGACCAGCUGCCCCUAGGGCCCUGUGUUCCCCAGGGCCUGCUGUAAAUUUUCAUGAGAGCUGUGUAUCUGGAGAGAGGGAGAAAGCAGCUAGCUUGGGAAUUAAUCAGCCCCACAUGGAUUGCAUAAAAAAAACAAAAAACAAAAAAAAA
This 8590-nucleotide long non-coding RNA is filed under the name Sus scrofa (pig). RNAcentral's name for it is "lncRNA (ENSSSCG00060065581.1)". The record is from RNAcentral. Lineage: Eukaryota; Metazoa; Chordata; Mammalia; Artiodactyla; Suidae.